Oncorhynchus mykiss (rainbow trout) is the source of this 7874-nucleotide non-coding RNA. The record is from RefSeq and is a predicted model, not a curated record. Lineage: Eukaryota; Metazoa; Chordata; Actinopteri; Salmoniformes; Salmonidae.
UUUAAGCAGGACGGGUAGCCCGAUCGGCUCAUGGGGUGGUUAUAUUUCUGACCGGUAAAAGUUGCGUACCUGCUUCACACACACGUAGUUUGCAAAUCAGAUACUGAUAGCUAAAUGUGGAAACGAGAAGAGAGCAGGAGAACAAUGGCAGGAGGGAAUUUAUGAAAUAAGCGAGUGUGUUUAUGCAUAGGGGAAAGUGAGGUCGAGAGAGAGAGAGAGCGAGUUCUUUCCUUCUGCCCUUGAGCGCCUAGGACAAAACCGAAAUCGCAAAAAGUAACGGAACAUUAAUUGAGGCAGUACCACUUCUGGAAAAAGUAUUGAAAUAUAAUACAUUUCGAACAAGAAGUCAACUAUUGUGCGUACGGGAUGUAUGGGAUACCAUCCUAACGCACUGCUUUCCUCAAAGUAUAAAAACAGAAGGGAAACAAACAGAAGGGGAGAGCAUCUCAUCUAAUCCUCUUACAGAAGGGAAUACGGUAACGUUAAGCUUUAUUUCAACGACGAACCAAUGCUGAGGCUUUUGAAUGCUGAUAACACUUUUGCAAAGGAUGCACCCAUGACAGAAUGAUCAAAUUUUCCCGGAGCAAUUUGCCAACGAUGGAGCAUGUAAAUACUUCAUUUGACUGACGUGAAAACACAACAACAUCUCAUCUAGAGAGCUUCUGAGUGGACAGCGGGAAUAUUCUCAAUGCUCUACUCAUGGACAUAUCGACUGUUUUUAGCAUGGCUUGCAUGGAGUGCCAAAGGGGGUCGAUCUGAGAAAGAUUUAGCGCUGUAUACAUUUCUAAUAAAAUAAGUUAUUGUAACUAUAAUUUAAAGUAAUACUUGAAUUUGAAUUGUUUUUAACAUAAGAUAACAAAUACUUCAAAACAGAAGUGUAACUUAUUUAGGCAGGCAUACAUUUGUAUACAAAACCAGCAGAGUUGUAAGGCUGUAUCCUGCAAGCGGCAGGUGUCUCUCCCAACAUGAAAACCAACCGGAUUCCAAGCUGAUCCUCUCCCUGUGUGGACCGACGGUGGCACCACUUCCCUCUUCCCUCCGGACUCUCGGUCUUGGACCAUGGGUGUGGUCUCUACGAGUGCCAUGCUCUCACAGGUGCUUUUUCUUUUGCACUUUGUUACUCUGACCCUUGGCCAGUAUGACAUAUGCAAGUCGCUGUUUAGUACGGACGAUGGACCAACAUGGGAGUUUUAUGCGUGCCAGCCAAAACCAAUGGCUAUGAAGGAGUUCGUGCAAAUUAGAGUGGAUCCUCCUGGCAUCACUUGCGGCAACCCCCCGGAGAGGUUCUGUACCCUGGAGAACCCCUACCUGUGUAGUGACGAGUGUGACGCCUCCAACCCGGACCUGGCUCACCCUCCCCAGCUGAUGCAGGAUCGUGAGCGCAGCGGCCUCAUCACCUAUUGGCAGACGGUGACAUGGAGCCGCUACCCGGAGCCCCUGCUGGCCAACAUCUCCCUGGCCUGGAACAAGAGCCUGGAGUUGACCGACGACAUUCAGGUCACCUUCGAGUAUGGCCGCCCCACCAUGAUGGUGCUGGACAAGUCCCUAGACAAAGGGCGCACCUGGCAGCCCUACCAGUUCUACGCCGACGACUGCAUGGAAGCCUUCGGUAUGCCCGCUAAGCGGGUGCAGGACCUGUCGGCCACCAAUGUGACGCGGGUCAUCUGCACAGAGCAGUACUCUCGCUGGGUGGGCUCCAAGAACGAGAAGGUGCUGCGCUUCGAGGUGAUGGCACGCUUCACUAUCUUCACGGGGCCCAAGCUGCUCAACAUGGACAGUCUGUACACACGCAUGGAGAGUAUGAAGGGCCUGAGGGACUUCUUCACUUUCACCAACCUGAGACUGAGGCUGCUGAGGCCGGCCCUGGGGGGAACCUACGUCCAGAAAGACAACCUCCUCAAAUACUUCUACGCCAUCUCCAACAUAGAGGUACCAGCCAGGUGUAAGUGUAACCUCCAUGCUGGCCAGUGCACCUUUCGGGAGGGAAGCCUGCAGUGUGACUGUGAACACAAUACGACGGGCCAAGACUGCACUCGCUGUGAGAGGGGCUUCAAAGCCAAGUCAUGGAAACCUGGAUCGUACCUACCCACCCCCAACGGAUCCCCCAAUACCUGUGAUGCUGCUGGGACUCUUGGCAACAUCACCACCUUCACUGACAUAGUGACAGCUGUGGUGGGUCCCACAUCCAGCACAAAGCUCAGUGACUCCCUAACUGACACACCAGUGCUGCUUCUGGCAACAGAUCAAACGUCUGUGCCAGCCACGAUACCAGCCACUCUUCCAGCCAGUAUGUCAGACACUGUGCCAGUCUCUGCCAGUCCCGACCAGACAGACAGUCCAUCCUUAACCACAGUGAACUUUCCCCCAAUGGAGGUAAAUCCCCCCACAACCACAGUGAGAGCGCAGCCGAAAGUUACUGAAUCAUCUGAUGCAGCUGAUGCCACAUCUGACUCAGUCACACCAUCAUCUGAUGCAACCACUCCAACAUCAGUUGGAUUUACUCUCACACCUGACAGCACAACGACAACUUCUUACACAGUGACUUCUGACACCAGUACCACAGCAUCUGACACAAGUACUACUACAUCUGACACAAGUACGACUACAUCUGAAACAAGUACUACAACAUCUGAAACAAGUACUACAACAUCUGAAACAAGUACUACUACAUCUGACACAAGUACCACAGCAUCUGACACAAGUACCACAGCAUCUGACACAAGUACCACAGCAUCUGACACAAGUACGGCUACAUCUGAAACAAGUACUACAACAUCUGACACAAGUACCACAACAUCUGACACAAGUACCACAGCAUCUGACACAAGUACGGCUACAUCUGAAACAAGUACUACAACAUCUGACACAAGUACCACAGCAUCUGACACAAGUACCACAGCAUCUGACACAAGUACCACAGCAUCUGACACAAGUACCACAGCAUCUGAAACAAGUACUACAACAUCUGACACAAGUACCACAGCAUCUGACACAAGUACCACAGCAUCUGACACAAGUACCACAGCAUCUGACACAAGUACCACAGCAUCUGAAACAAGUACUACAACAUCUGACACAAGUACCACAGCAUCUGACACAAGUACCACAGCAUCCGACACAAGUACCACAGCAUCUGACACAAGUACCACAGCAUCUGACACAAGUACCACAGCAUCUGACACAAGUACUACAUCAUCUGACACAAGUACUACAUUUGACACAAGUUCAACAACAACUGAGAGAAGUACUACAAUAUUUGACACAAUUGCAACACUAUUUGACAUUAGUAUUACACCUUCGGUGACUACUACUAACACAGUUGACACAAGUACCACAACAUUUGACACAAGUACCACAACAUUUGACACAACCACCACAGUAUCAGACACAAGUAUCACAACAUUUUACACAAGUACUACAUUUCUAAUAAGUACUAAAACAUCUUACACAAAUAUUUAUUUUGACACAAGUUCUACAACAACUGACACAAGUACUGUAUCUGACUCAAGUACUACAAUAUUUGACACAAUGACUUCAACAUCUGAUAUAUUUACCACAACUUAUGGCACUAUUACUUCAGCAUCUGAUGUAUUCACUUCAACAUCUGGUGUGCCCUUUCUGGCAUCGGACACAGUUACUCCAGCAUCUGAUGUAGUAACACCACCAACAGAUGGAUUUACCUCAACCCCUGAUGAUACAUUUAUUCCAGCAUCUGAGGGAGAUACACCCGCCUCUGACGUGGCUACUUCAGUAUCUGAUGGACUAACCUCACAACCUGAUGAUGCUCCUUCAACACCUCAAGCAGUUCCUCAAACUCCCGACACGGUUUCCUCAGCACCUGAUCCUCUAUCCCGUACACCGGGUAGAGACACCACCCAAGCUCCAGACAAAUCUACUCCAGCACCUGACACAGAUACCUCAAGAUCUGUUUCUGCUACCCUGGCACCUGUUGUAGCUACUACAGCUCCAGACUCAUCUCCAGCAGCUCCUGAUCCUGCUACCCCAUCUCCUGAUGUAGGACCAGUUCCUGAUUCAGUUGAUCCAGCUCCUGAUUCAGUUGAUCCAGCUCCUGAUGUAGGACCAGCUCUUGAUUCAGUUGAUUCAUUUCCUGAUUCAGUUGAUCCAGCUCCUGAUACAGGACCAUCUCCUGAUGCUGUUGAUCCAGCUCCUGGUGUUGGACCAGUUCCUGAUUCAGUUUAUCCAGCUCCUGAUGUAGGACCAGCUCUUGAUUCAGUUGAUUCAUUUCCUGAUUCAGUUGAUCCAGCUCCUGAUACAGUUGAUCCAGCUCCUGAUGAUGCUGUUGAUCCAGCCCCUGAUGCAGGACCAGCUCCUGAUUCAAUUUAUCCAGCUCUUGAUUCAGCUCCUGAUUCAGGACCAGCUCCUGAUGCUGCCGCUCCAAUGCCUGAUGCUGGGGUCGGUGAGAAAGUGGAAAAUAAAGAAGAAAAUGUUAAAGAGGAAAAAGGUACACCGUGAUAUAGCAACAAUACCCUCUUAUUUUUUCAUUUACAAGUGUAUGAAUAUUCCAUCAGUAAACUAUGGUAAAACUGCAAAUGUUGAAGGAACUAUCCCACUGGGCACAGAAGUCAUUUCAACGUCUAGUUUUGAUUUUAUAUUUGGUUGACCAAUCAGUUUUCUAUAUUGAUUCAACAACAACAUUAUGUGGAGCCAACGUUGAAUUAACCAAUAUUUGCCCAGUGGUAUAUUUAGAAUGUACAAUGUUAUCCUCUAAUGUACAGUUGUGUAUGCAGUCUAUAUGCUGCUAAUAGGCAGUUGUGUCAGUAAGGUUUUAUGACCUUUACACGAGCUGUUGCCUUAUUGUCUCAACCAUUUGACAAAGCCAUUAUCUAAAGGGUCAUUCAGCAUGAAUAAAAAAUGAGUAAAAAGUUUGAAGUUGCUUUUUUUCUGAUCUCUCAAUCUCUCCGAUGUACACAGUUACCCCCAUAACUGAAGCCAAAGGGGAAAGCAAAGAGGAAGAGAAAAAAAAAUAUUUUCAAACGAAAGACAAUGAGAAAAAAGGUAUAUUGAUUAACAGUAGUCUAGUAGUAUUUGUACUGUAUGUUGUGUGUGUUACAAAAUAUAGUUGUGUCAGAUUUAAAAAUAGUUUAGUAUGAUCCAACAACUCCUCUGUUAUGGAAGCAGAUGGGGAUCUGUGAAACUCACUCCUCAGCCUGAAGUGAAUCCACUUGAGCUGCUGAACAGUUAGCUUUUUGGUGGAGCAACUGGGUAGACACUUCAGAAGGGGGGUCAUGUGUGUUUGCGAGGCAGAGGUCCUGGGUUCAAGCCUUGAUAUGAGCUGAAUCAGGAGGAAGCGGUACUCGUUAAGCAAGCAGCGUGACAUCCUUUACAAUGGUGCCAAUUGACUCAGAUCUGCAGUUGCGCUCAGCUCAAUGCUGGGUUCCCCGUGGAGGGAAUUUGGGGGGGGGUGAAGGUAGCAGAUGGGGAUCUAUGAAACUCCACUCGUGCUGCCGAACAGCUAGCUGGGUAAGACGCUUCAGGAGGGCGGCCAUGUUUGUUUGCGAGGCAGAGGUCCCGGGUUCAAGCCUGAAUCAGGAGGGAGCGGUACUCGCUAAGCAAGCAGUGUGACGUCCUUUACAUUAGCGUUAGCAUGUCAAUUUGUAGUGGUGUCAGUAACCAUUCAUGUUGAAUUCCCUGAACCAACUCAAUGGGGUUGAAGUUGGAGUGUUAGUCACCUGGUUGCUAUAGGAAAACAUCCCCACUGGGUGUCAGAGCGCAAACAGAUAAUUGAUGGACAAAAUAGGUUGCGGAAAAGCCAUUUUUGGAUGAGCCCAUGUCCCAGUAGGAUACCUGAUCCAUGGUUUCAGGAGGCUAUUGACUCAAAGCACCAGGCUGCUGACAAGCAUUAGAAGUCGUCUGUGUGUUUGUCAAACCUAGAGCAGCUAAUGUAUUUUUGUUGUUGACAAGGAUCAUGUGGUACAGAAUAUGCCACAUAGUAUUGUGUGGGUGAUUCUGUCACCACUCAGACUCCACUCAUCAGCUAUAGCUGAACCAGUAUUGCAAACUAAACAUCUUUGCUAUGGACUAUGAUUCCAAUCACUUGAUUUGGCACUAAACGGGAGAAACGGACUGAAGCUCAUUUCGUGUUAUGUUUAAAUGUUAAAAUAAAAUAAUUGUUACGUUUCCCUAAUAAACACAACCCAGGUAGGCAUUUUAUUGCUGGUGAGAUGGAUUGUCUGAAUGGGACUGAGAUGUUGUUCUUGUAGGAAUGAAUAUCUACACUUUGUGAAUGACUAAACGUUGUGGUAAUAUACAAUACUGUGUGUUAAUGUGUAGAUUUCAAUGGUUUAUGGAAUGUAUGAGGUCUUUCUCUGUGAAUCAUGCAAGAUGUCUGAGCAGUUGGCACCCUAUUUGUGUUUCAGGAUUCCUUUGGCAUCAAUUGUAUAUUUUAGUAGCCAUGAUAUUUCAGACACUGUGUAGUAGAGGCUUGUACACAUUGGCAUGUUAGUAUUAUCUAUAACACAGUUAAAUAGAUGCUUUAUUUCCCAAGCGGUUGUAAAACUGCUGAUUCCUGGUGGGUCCAAAUACAGCGAGUCUAAGGUUGCAUACGUCCAGUUUCAAGGUAAGACAUGAUUGACCACACUGAAGCUUUGAAUCUGUUUGGACUAGAGAACUGUGGAAAAAUGACCAACGUUUGUCUAGUCUUUUUCCUUCAUUCAUUUGUCUUUUUGUUUUUUUCCCCCCAUGCGUUUUUAUGUUGCACGUUUGGGUUUUGUUUGCUUCGUAAGGUAAGCAACUUAUUUCCCCUCCAUUUAUAGUAUUACUGUCGUUACCUUUUUAUUGUGAACUUGUAAUGAAAUCUCAGAACCUAUAGGUUCUGUGUCGCAACGGAUUGUAUAGUGUCAUUUGUGUGGAUGACUGUGGAUUCCUUUGUGAGACAGUGACCAUUCUUUCAACAAUCUGUAGGGUAAUAGGCCCAUUCAUUUGUGAUAAGCUGUUUUUGCCCCCCCGUCCCACUGCUCUACUCUGUGGUACAGCAGGUCUUCAUAUUACACCAGCAGCAUCUUUUUUAAAUAGCGUGUCAAUACUGAAUCCCCUCUAAGCAAAGAGAAGUAACAUGAUGCCUGAUUAAAUAACUAAACUGUCAGCUAAAUCGUCUUGUACAUUAGCAUUAAAAACAAUUUUAUUCAGAUUCUUGUAGUAUGAUGGAACAAACUCCCUAAAGCAUUAUAAGCUUCAUUGUGACAUCAUAUAUAUUGUAUAUGUAUAUAUUGAUUUACACCUAAUUAAAAUAUGAUAUAUAUAUAUAUAUAAUAUUUUAUUUAGGUGUAAAUCAAUGAAUCAAUCGAAAAAUAUAUAAUGCAAACUAAAUUGACACCUUGGUGUGUUUGCUCUACCAAUUGUUUUUAUCCCUUGGUAAAUCAAUGUGCAGUAUUCAGAGGCCUGAUUGUUAGCUGGUUGAAUAUGGCAGAUUUGAGCUUUUUGAGGUCAAGUGAUUUCCCAUGGGGCCACAAAGUCAGGAACUGGUUUCGGAACUCAGCAUACUUCAGCUCUAUGGAGCUUGCUAUGUCUUGCCUAUUUGGCUUUUGUAUGAUGAGUGAAACAGUUUUGGGGUAUACCUAAAUCUCUGAGUGCUACCUCUGCAUUUGAAUAGGACUCCAUUCCUCCUCUUCCUCUUCCUCAUCCUCCAGCACCUUGUACUAACCCUACUCUGCUCUUCCCCCCCUGUCAGACUGCGAGUGCUAUGGCCACUCGAACCGCUGCAGUUAUAUUGACUUUAUCAACAUCGUGACUUGCGUCAGCUGUAAACACAACACUAGGGGGCAGAACUGUCAGCACUGCCGACUGGGAUUCUUCCGGAAUGUCUCUGCCGAGCUGGACGAUGAGAACGUUUGUAUAGAGUGUAAUUGUAAUCAGCU